UACACUCACUACUGUAAGUCGCUCUGGAUAAGAGUGUCUGCUAAAUGACUAAAA
Molecule: non-coding RNA, 54 nt
Organism: Salmo salar (Atlantic salmon)
Lineage: Eukaryota; Metazoa; Chordata; Actinopteri; Salmoniformes; Salmonidae
Source: Rfam